GAGUUUGAUCCUGGCUCAGGAUGAACGCUGGCGGCGUGCUUAACACAUGCAAGUCGAACGGUGAAGCAGAGCUUGCUCUGUGGAUCAGUGGCGAACGGGUGAGUAACACGUGAGCAACCUGCCCUGGACUCUGGGAUAAGCGCUGGAAACGGCGUCUAAUACUGGAUAUGAAUCGCGACCGCAUGGUCAGUGGUUGGAAAGAUUUUUCGGUCUGGGAUGGGCUCGCGGCCUAUCAGCUUGUUGGUGAGGUAAUGGCUCACCAAGGCGUCGACGGGUAGCCGGCCUGAGAGGGUGACCGGCCACACUGGGACUGAGACACGGCCCAGACUCCUACGGGAGGCAGCAGUGGGGAAUAUUGCACAAUGGGCGAAAGCCUGAUGCAGCAACGCCGCGUGAGGGAUGACGGCCUUCGGGUUGUAAACCUCUUUUAGCAAGGAAGAAGCGAAAGUGACGGUACUUGCAGAAAAAGCGCCGGCUAACUACGUGCCAGCAGCCGCGGUAAUACGUAGGGCGCAAGCGUUAUCCGGAAUUAUUGGGCGUAAAGAGCUCGUAGGCGGUUUGUCGCGUCUGCUGUGAAAACCCGAGGCUCAACCUCGGGCCUGCAGUGGGUACGGGCAGACUAGAGUGCGGUAGGGGAGAUUGGAAUUCCUGGUGUAGCGGUGGAAUGCGCAGAUAUCAGGAGGAACACCGAUGGCGAAGGCAGAUCUCUGGGCCGUAACUGACGCUGAGGAGCGAAAGGGUGGGGAGCAAACAGGCUUAGAUACCCUGGUAGUCCACCCCGUAAACGUUGGGAACUAGUUGUGGGGUCCAUUCCACGGAUUCCGUGACGCAGCUAACGCAUUAAGUUCCCCGCCUGGGGAGUACGGCCGCAAGGCUAAAACUCAAAGGAAUUGACGGGGACCCGCACAAGCGGCGGAGCAUGCGGAUUAAUUCGAUGCAACGCGAAGAACCUUACCAAGGCUUGACAUACACGAGAACGCUGCAGAAAUGUAGAACUCUUUGGACACUCGUGAACAGGUGGUGCAUGGUUGUCGUCAGCUCGUGUCGUGAGAUGUUGGGUUAAGUCCCGCAACGAGCGCAACCC
RNAcentral lists this ribosomal RNA (1084 nucleotides) under uncultured bacterium. Its description in RNAcentral is "bacterial SSU rRNA". It matches the Rfam family "Bacterial small subunit ribosomal RNA", at positions 9 to 1104 of the family's 1533-position model. The record is from RNAcentral.